Molecule: non-coding RNA, 134 nt
Filed under: Daucus carota subsp. sativus
Lineage: Eukaryota; Viridiplantae; Streptophyta; Magnoliopsida; Apiales; Apiaceae
Description: Bacterial large subunit ribosomal RNA
Rfam family: Bacterial large subunit ribosomal RNA
Source: Rfam by way of RNAcentral
GACUUGAACAUGGGUGAUCAAUCCAUGACGAUGAUGAGCUUUGGUUAACUAAAUGGAGAUUUGAACCGACUAAUGUAGAAGAAUCACCGGAUGAGUUGUGGUUAGAAAUGUUACUCAAACCCACAAUUAGCUAG